RNAcentral lists this ribosomal RNA (513 nucleotides) under Trogloneta sp. MYSM-024-CHILE. RNAcentral's name for it is "partial 28S ribosomal RNA". Lineage: Eukaryota; Metazoa; Arthropoda; Arachnida; Araneae; Mysmenidae. The record is from RNAcentral.
UUUGAAGAGAGGGUUCAAUAGUACGUGAAACUGCUCAGAGGUAAACGGGUGGGCCCUCGAAGUCCUGUGGCGGGAGGAUUCAGUCGAAAGGCGGGCGCGUGCGUGCGGGCGGUGUGAUCGUGGUCCCCCGUCCCGGGGGGUCAAUCCGCCCGCGUCACGACGCAGGCCGGCCGACGCAUUUCUUUCCCGUCUGAAGGAAGCCGCAAUCGGUUGGGGGACUGCCUUAAGGAUUGGUGACGGAAGGUUGCCGACGGCUUCCCCUGUGGGAUUUCGCCGGUGUUAUAGCCGACCAGUCGCACGGCGGGUACCCCGACCGUGGUGUCACGAGGCCCUGAUGGGCUUUUCCGUCUCCUCUGUAAAAUGAUCGCGGUGUCGUCGGCGGCAGGGGGCUGACGGGUCUGCAGGCACACCGGUUCCUCCGGUGGCCACGCGGAUCCUCGCCCUCGUUGGCUGCCCGUGUAGCCGUUGGAGGCCGAUGGUUAGCGGCGAGUAGGUCGGUCACCCACCCGACCC